CCCGCACAAGCGGUGGAGCAUGUGGUUUAAUUCGAUGAUACGCGAGGAACCUUACCUGGGCUCGAACGUAAGAUGACUGUAGGUGAAAGCUUACAUCUCUUCGGAGCAUUUUACGAGGUGCUGCAUGGUUGUCGUCAGCUCGUGCCGUGAGGUGUCGGGUUAAGUCCCAUAACGAGCGCAACCCUACCUUUAGUUGCCAUCAGGUUAAGCUGGGGACUCUAAAGGAACUGCCUACGCAAGUAGUGAGGAAGGCGGGGAUGACGUCAAAUCAGCACGGCCCUUACGUCCAGGGCUACACACGUGCUACAAUGGCCGAUACAGAGGGCAGCUACCUGGUGACAGGAUGCAAAUCUCCAAAGUCGGUCUCAGUUCGGAUCGGAGUCUGCAAUCCGACUCCGUGAAGUUGGAUUCGCUAGUAAUCGCGCAUCAGCCAUGGCGCGGUGAAUACGUUCCCGGGCCUU
This 461-nucleotide ribosomal RNA is filed under the name uncultured Sphingobacteriales bacterium. RNAcentral's name for it is "bacterial SSU rRNA". It matches the Rfam family "Bacterial small subunit ribosomal RNA", at positions 920 to 1382 of the family's 1533-position model. The record is from RNAcentral. Lineage: Bacteria; Pseudomonadati; Bacteroidota; Sphingobacteriia; Sphingobacteriales.